Myiozetetes cayanensis is the source of this 210-nucleotide long non-coding RNA. RefSeq lists it as uncharacterized. NCBI's taxonomy places the organism in Eukaryota, Metazoa, Chordata, Aves, Passeriformes, Tyrannidae. The record is from RefSeq and is a predicted model, not a curated record. The transcript has 4 exons.
GCAGCAUCCUCUGCUGGGAAUGGCAUUGUAAAAUCAGGAGCUGUUUACCUGCAUGCCCAUCUGUUUGGCCUUUGAAAUACUUAUACCUGAAUGGCUCUGGCAAAUAACAUUGGUGUGGAUGACAUGGAUGCACUCUGAAGAAGGCACUUCGUUGGGCCUGGACUCUUUCCUCUCUUCCUGAGGUGUGCACACAUCUGCAACAUGCACAGG